Molecule: ribosomal RNA, 301 nt
Filed under: uncultured bacterium
Lineage: Bacteria
Description: partial 16S ribosomal RNA
Rfam family: Bacterial small subunit ribosomal RNA
Source: RNAcentral
CAGUAGCCGCGGGAAUACGUAGGUGGCAAGCGUUGUCCGGAUUUAUUGGGCGUAAAGCGAGCGCAGGCGGUUUCUUAAGUCUGAUGUGAAAGCCCCCGGCUCAACCGGGGAGGGUCAUUGGAAACUGGGAAACUUGAGUGCAGAAGAGGAGAGUGGAAUUCCAUGUGUAGCGGUGAAAUGCGUAGAUAUAUGGAGGAACACCAGUGGCGAAGGCGGCUCUCUGGUCUGUAACUGACGCUGAGGCUCGAAAGCGUGGGGAGCAAACAGGAUUAGAGACCCCAGUAGUCCCUGUCUCUUAUAC